Molecule: ribosomal RNA, 253 nt
Filed under: uncultured bacterium
Lineage: Bacteria
Description: partial 16S ribosomal RNA
Rfam family: Bacterial small subunit ribosomal RNA
Source: RNAcentral
UACAGAGGUCUCAAGCGUUGUUCGGAUUCCUUGGGCGUAAAGGGUGCGUAGGCGGCGCGGUAAGUCGGGUGUGAAAUCUCGGAGCUUAACUCCGAAACUGCAUUCGAUACUGCCGUGCUUGAGGACUGGAGAGGAGAUUGGAAUUUACGGUGUAGCGGUGAAAUGCGUAGAUAUCGUAAGGAAGACCAGUGGCGAAGGCGGGUCUCUGGACAGUUCCUGACGCUGAGGCACGAAGGUCAGGGGAGCAAACGGG